GACGUAGGGCGCGAGCGUUAAUCGGAAUUACUGGGCGUAAAGCGUGCGCAGGCGGUUCGUUAAGUCAGAUGUGAAAGCCCCGGGCUCAACCUGGGAACUGCAUUUGAAACUGGCGGGCUUGAGUGUGGCAGAGGGGGGUGGAAUUCCGCGUGUAGCAGUGAAAUGCGUAGAGAUGCGGAGGAACACCGAUGGCGAAGGCAGCCCCCUGGGCCAACACUGACGCUCAGGCACGAAAGCGUGGGGAGCAAACAGG
Molecule: ribosomal RNA, 253 nt
Filed under: uncultured bacterium
Lineage: Bacteria
Description: partial 16S ribosomal RNA
Rfam family: Bacterial small subunit ribosomal RNA
Source: RNAcentral